AUUGAACGCUGGCGGCAGGCCUAACACAUGCAAGUCGAGCGGAUGAAGGGAGCUUGCUCCUGGAUUCAGCGGCGGACGGGUGAGUAAUGCCUAGGAAUCUGCCUGGUAGUGGGGGAUAACGUCCGGAAACGGGCGCUAAUACCGCAUACGUCCUGAGGGAGAAAGUGGGGGAUCUUCGGACCUCACGCUAUCAGAUGAGCCUAGGUCGGAUUAGCUAGUUGGUGGGGUAAAGGCCUACCAAGGCGACGAUCCGUAACUGGUCUGAGAGGCUGAUCAGUCACACUGGAACUGAGACACGGUCCAGACUCCUACGGGAGGCAGCAGUGGGGAAUAUUGGACAAUGGGCGAAAGCCUGAUCCAGCCAUGCCGCGUGUGUGAAGAAGGUCUUCGGAUUGUAAAGCACUUUAAGUUGGGAGGAAGGGCAGUAAGUUAAUACCUUGCUGUUUUGACGUUACCAACAGAAUAAGCACCGGCUAACUUCGUG
This 484-nucleotide ribosomal RNA is filed under the name uncultured bacterium. RNAcentral describes it as "partial 16S ribosomal RNA". It matches the Rfam family "Bacterial small subunit ribosomal RNA", at positions 30 to 507 of the family's 1533-position model. The record is from RNAcentral.